AAUUAUUAAAAACCUCCGAAAAAUCCAACGGUUAUAAGGAUGGGUGUAAUUUAACUAAAGUUUUCCCAAAUUUUGAUGUCCCAGCAACAGUUAAAAGUGAAAAAUAAAAAACAAAAAUCACACUCACACACACACACACACACACACACACACGGUGUACACACCAAAACCCCAAAAAAAACACCCUAUAAUCCUCUCAUCCCUCAUUUCUCCUCAAUAGCGAAGUUAGGGUUACAAAAUUGGGGUUUGAGCCCAACACACAAAAAAAAUAAAAAUAAAAAUAAAAAUAAAUAAAUCAAUAAAACCCCAAAACAGGCCCUAUAAUCCUCUCAUCCCGAUAUCUCGUCAACAGCAAAGUUAGGGUUACAAAUUUGGGUUUAAGCGAGGAGUCAAGUAGCGCGAAGUAGAGCAGCGGCCGAUUUCACCGGAAAAAGAUAAAGAUGGGUCCUGAGGGCUGUGACAUUCCUAAGCCUGAGAAGCAAGAAUGCAAUGCAAUUGAAUUGGAAAGGCUCUACAGGGGUCUUGACAUUAUUGACGAGAAGCCUGAGAAGCAAGAAUUUAAUCCAAUUGACUUGGAAAGGCUCUACAGGGAUCUUGACAUUGUUGACGUUAAAAGUCUCUAUAGGAGAGUCGAGCUAAUGGAAGAUCAGAUGAAGUUAAUAGACUUGAAUUUAGUGUAUAUCACCAAGGAAGUGCAAAAGGAGUUUUUGAGGAGGACUGGAGGUGGAGUUUACGCCACACCGGAGUUAUUGAGCUUGACUAGAAAAGCAUUUGCCGGACUUGACGGGACCAAUCAUGAUGGCUGAUGAUGAUGAUGAUCACGGGACUGAGCACUGCGAGGAGGAUAGGGAUGCUGAGCUGACCAAGCAGAUUCAACAGCUCUAAAUGUCCCAAAAGGCUAUUUUGCUGUUUAUGUUGGAGAGAGUGAAAACAAGCAGUUUGAGAUUCCAAUAUCGUACUUGAACCAGCCUUUGUUCCUAGACUACUACUAAGUCUAGCCUAGGAAGAAUUUGGGUUUGAUCAUCCAAUGGGCGGUCUCACUAUUCGUUGCAGAGAGGACGUCUUCAUUGAUAUCACUUCUCAGUUGAGCAGAUCAUGAGACAAUUCUAUGCAUAUAGACAUAAUUUUGUAAAUCAGUAGUCAUCAUAUCUGUAUACAAACUUGAAUUUGGUACCUUUUAUUUAUUAUUAUUAUUUUCCAGCUGGGAGAUUGGGAUGAAAAAAUUGGCCCUUAUCAGACAAUUUCAAAAGCAACAUUAUUUCUUCAAAA
Molecule: long non-coding RNA, 1269 nt
Organism: Cornus florida
Lineage: Eukaryota; Viridiplantae; Streptophyta; Magnoliopsida; Cornales; Cornaceae
Exons: 3
Source: RefSeq, a predicted model, not a curated record